RNAcentral lists this transfer RNA (62 nucleotides) under Perumytilus purpuratus. Its description in RNAcentral is "tRNA-Met". Lineage: Eukaryota; Metazoa; Mollusca; Bivalvia; Mytilida; Mytilidae. The record is from RNAcentral.
AAUAGGGUAUUCUAAUUAAGAUAUAGGGCUCAUGCCCCUAUGAUGUGGUAACACCUCUAUUU